GAUCUCUGGGACCAGACGUUUGGUGAGCUGUCGAAUAACACAUUUUCAGACUAUGGAGGAAAGCGAGUCCGGGGACAAGUCUCAUCUCUACGAGUUUGACGCCCCGUCCCACGUCGUCGACCUCGUUACGUUGCAACUGGAGAAUGCCGAAAGCGAGGA
Molecule: long non-coding RNA, 159 nt
Organism: Etheostoma spectabile (orangethroat darter)
Lineage: Eukaryota; Metazoa; Chordata; Actinopteri; Perciformes; Percidae
Exons: 3
Source: RefSeq, a predicted model, not a curated record